CAGUAGCCGCGGUAAUACGGAGGGAGCUAGCGUUAUUCGGAAUUACUGGGCGUAAAGCGCACGUAGGCGGCUUUGUAAGUAAGAGGUGAAAGCCCGGAGCUCAACUCCGGAACUGCCUUUUAGACUGCAUCGCUUGAAUCCAGGAGAGGUGAGUGGAAUUCCGAGUGUAGAGGUGAAAUUCGUAGAUAUUCGGAAGAACACCAGUGGCGAAGGCGGCUCACUGGACUGGUAUUGACGCUGAGGUGCGAAAGCGUGGGGAGCAAACAAGAUUAGAUACCCCCGUAGUCCCUGUCUCUUAUAC
This 301-nucleotide ribosomal RNA is filed under the name uncultured bacterium. Its description in RNAcentral is "partial 16S ribosomal RNA". It matches the Rfam family "Bacterial small subunit ribosomal RNA", at positions 509 to 807 of the family's 1533-position model. The record is from RNAcentral.